Bos taurus (domestic cattle) is the source of this 559-nucleotide long non-coding RNA. Lineage: Eukaryota; Metazoa; Chordata; Mammalia; Artiodactyla; Bovidae. The record is from Ensembl.
UGGCAGGCAAAAGUGCUUCAGAGGCUAUGCACUCCAAAGCAGAUGGAUUCGUCCUUGGCGUGCUUCUUGGAGUGGAGUUGCUGGGCUGCUGAUCUUGCCGCUCUCAGGCUCAGGGUCACUGAUCCAUCCCCACCUUCCCUAAGGUCCACAGCUGCCUGCAGUGUUCUCCAACUAGGAACUAUGGCGUCCAGAGGUGCUGCGAGUCGUUGUAUUCCUACUGCUCCACAGGAUCCUGCUCUUGAAGGGCAACAACUGCAAUACCACCUGGAAACUCCAGUUUGACGUCCAGCCCAGCCUCCUCUGAUGUUCCUGAUGUCAUUCUGGACUUCUUUAAUUGACAAAACCCAGAGCUUAGCCACCUCCUUCUUGAUCCUGAUGAGAACCUGAUGUGAACCAGUGAUUCUGAAACCAUCCUUUAGCCUGUGUUCAUCAUCAUCCAGUAUAAGCCAAGCAAACCACUCUCUGGAGAAAGAGGUGACCUUAUCAGCCAUCCCGGUACUUUGCUCCUCAAAAGGCACCGUGGAACCCAGGAGGUGGACCUAAACCUCUCCUAGACCAG